Molecule: long non-coding RNA, 1426 nt
Filed under: Sparus aurata (gilthead seabream)
Lineage: Eukaryota; Metazoa; Chordata; Actinopteri; Spariformes; Sparidae
Description: lncRNA (ENSSAUG00010016431.1)
Source: RNAcentral
AUGAAGAACGUUGCAGUCCAAGCCGUGCAAGGAGUCUCCGUAAAUAGAGCCUUUGUGUGCUCCCAGCCGAGAUCAACUCUGCCCCCAGCGCUCCCAAGGCGGAAACCCGCUGGGCCUUCGGACCAAGAGUCCCUCAACAGAGUACCGGCCUUCCCUCUGGCUACUGGACCGACGCGCCGUGCCGUGGUCCAACCCAGAACUCUCAAAGAGACCAAGCUUCAGUGCCUCCUGACGCCCAGACAAAACAGGCUGAACGUCUUCAUACAGCUGGAUCCACACACGACAUGUGGAUUGGCCUUCUGCACUGUGUCACAGGAGAGCAUGAGAUGUCCCUCGAUGCCUGUCAACAUGGUCCCUUGGGGGAAGACAGAGAGAAGGAGUGGAUAGGGAAGUUUUGUCUGAAAUCCUUCUCAGUAAACGCUGGCUGAAGGAGGUUCACAAGUACUUGCAUUUCAGGUAUGAUUAUGUAGUUUAAUUUCCCUUUUGUGUCGCUUUUCAAAGAUUAUUCAGUGUUUUUAUUUGUACAUGUACACUUAGAGUACAGUUAAGAAAGAAAUUAUAAUCUGAUAUUUCCCAUUAAAUUUGUAGGUCAACUGCAGAGCUGGAGUCCUGCCAUAAUCACAUCCUGAUGUAUGCCAGCAAGUUUAUCAGUUUCAGCUCUCCAGUCUAUGAAGCCUGAAUCUUACUGGCUGGCCUAGGACUACAACCACCAUGUCCACAGACCACCCAAGAGAAGACCUGAUGGCUCCAUAGAGUAUGUUAUAAGCACAAUAAAUGUUAUUAAGUCUAUCUUAAUUUGUCUCAGCCACUAUAUUCUGUACUAACAAAGAAUGUUCAGAAACCUGGAUCAGGCUUUUACAUGCAGCUGUAUCUUGGUUUCUCAAAACUGUGAUAACAUGUUUACAUGUGCAAAAAAUAACCAGGAUACUCCAAAAACACGAUCAUAAUCAGGAUGCUAGUUAGCUGUUAUUAUUUAAACUGUGACCAGUUGUGUUCAAGCUGUCACAGCUAGAUACUGCCUCACUGAUGGUUUCUGAAAACUAUAAAAGGCACAAUAAUGUAUUUAAAAACAAGUCAGGCCUCAUCUGGCAAGGUCAAACUCCAAAUUUCACACUAGAACAACCGAGGCAUCAAUUUGACUGUUUCAAAUUUUCAAUGUAAUAACUUUGUUGAAAUAAAACCCAUGUAACUAUAGGACCCUGACUCCCCCUAAAUGUGUGUAUAUAUUACAUCCAAUUUCUUUAUUCUUAUUCUACACAGGUCAGAGAUUGCCGCAGACAUAGAGGCAUGCUGUUGCACGUUGAAGAAUAAAGAAUCCUAUCUAACAGCAAAAAUCUAAGUUUAUGUUGACCUUGACUGACAACUGUGCAUCGUUACUCUCCAUACAACCUACAUUGUUAUAUUACUUUGAAAAAUAAAACUUGAC